RNAcentral lists this ribosomal RNA (254 nucleotides) under uncultured microorganism. RNAcentral describes it as "partial 16S ribosomal RNA". It matches the Rfam family "Archaeal small subunit ribosomal RNA", at positions 474 to 727 of the family's 1478-position model. The record is from RNAcentral.
CACCGGCAGCUCGAGUGGUGGCCACUCUUAUUGGGCCUAAAGCGUCCGUAGCCGGCUUGGCAAGUCCCCUGGGAAAUCUGGCGGCUUAACCGUCAGGCGUCCAGAGGAUACUGCCAGGCUUGGGACCGGGAGAGGUGAGAGGUACCUCAGGGGUAGGGGUGAAAUCUUGUGAUCCCUGAGGGACCACCAGUGGCGAAGGCGUCUCACUAGAACGGGUCCGACGGUCAGGGACGAAAGCUAGGGGAGCAAACCGG